This 503-nucleotide ribosomal RNA is filed under the name Lacticaseibacillus casei. RNAcentral describes it as "bacterial SSU rRNA". It matches the Rfam family "Bacterial small subunit ribosomal RNA", at positions 93 to 580 of the family's 1533-position model. The record is from RNAcentral. Lineage: Bacteria; Bacillati; Bacillota; Bacilli; Lactobacillales; Lactobacillaceae.
GAGUGGCGGACGGGUGAGUAACACGUGGGUAACCUGCCCUUAAGUGGGGGAUAACAUUUGGAAACAGAUGCUAAUACCGCAUAGAUCCAAGAACCGCAUGGUUCUUGGCUGAAAGAUGGCGUAAGCUAUCGCUUUUGGAUGGACCCGCGGCGUAUUAGCUAGUUGGUGAGGUAAUGGCUCACCAAGGCGAUGAUACGUAGCCGAACUGAGAGGUUGAUCGGCCACAUUGGGACUGAGACACGGCCCAAACUCCUACGGGAGGCAGCAGUAGGGAAUCUUCCACAAUGGACGCAAGUCUGAUGGAGCAACGCCGCGUGAGUGAAGAAGGCUUUCGGGUGUAAAACUCUGUUGUUGGAGAAGAAUGGCGGCAGAGAGAGUAACUGUUGUCGGCGUGACGGUAUCCAACCAGAAAGCCACGGCUAACUACGUGCCAGCAGCCGCGGUAAUACGUAGGUGGCAAGCGUUAUCCGGAUUUAUUGGGCGUAAAGCGAGCGCAGGCGGUU